Molecule: long non-coding RNA, 625 nt
Filed under: Brassica rapa (field mustard)
Lineage: Eukaryota; Viridiplantae; Streptophyta; Magnoliopsida; Brassicales; Brassicaceae
Description: long non-coding RNA (BRAP_LNC001469)
Source: RNAcentral
AAGGAAUAGUUCACUCGAUACCGCCUCCAAUAGUAAAUGUUUCCAGCAUACAUAAGUAUGUGCAGCACAAUGAACCCAAACAAGCUGCAAGAACAAGAAGAAAGAAAGUGUAAGAGAGAAGCAAAUCGUUAGUAUAAACAUAGUAAGCAAAUUAAAUUAGGUUUUACCUGUAAAGAGGGAACAUAAUGUCCAUGUACUGUUUUUGGCCUUGUUCUUGCAGAAUGUUCCGGGUGCGUAUGAUGGCGAAUAGAGCCACUACUAGUGAGAACACACAUCCACCCAAGAAGCCUGAAAAAGUACUUUCUAAAAUUAGAAACUUCUUCCACAAACAAAGAAACCUGAAAGAUUGAAAGAGGAAAGUAUAAUGAAUAUACUGUACCUGUGGAGAAUGUAAUACGAUGUCUCUCUCUUUUAGGUUUGGGUCUCAAGAUGUUCAUUCCUUUUGUUCUGUUAGCAUUGGUGAAAUGCUUUAUGAAGGUAGCUUCAACACGCUCUAUGAGUUUAUUUACCUGUGACAAUGGUGAAGCAAGAGAAUAUCAGUCUUAAGAAGUAUCAGUCAACUUCAUCAAAUAAAAGAGCUUACGUCAUCAGAGCUUCCAAAGCAGGAGUUAUCAACCAUCUUCAU